Molecule: ribosomal RNA, 380 nt
Filed under: uncultured eukaryote
Lineage: Eukaryota
Description: partial 18S ribosomal RNA
Rfam family: Eukaryotic small subunit ribosomal RNA
Source: RNAcentral
CAAUAGCGUAUAUUAAAGUUGUUGCAGUUAAAAAGCUCGUAGUUGGAUUUGUGGCGUACGGUGUGUUCCGGGCACUUGUUGUCUGAGUAACCUGCUGUUGCCAUCCUUGGGUGGAACCUGUGUGGCAUUAGGUUGUCGUGCAGGGGAUGCCCAUCAUUUACUGUGAAAAAAUUAGAGUGUUCAAAGCAGGCUUAUGCCGUUGAAUAUAUUAGCAUGGAAUAAUGAGAUAGGACUUUUUUGCUAUUUUGUUGGUUUGCGCAAAGAGGUAAUGAUUAAUAGGGACAGUUGGGGGUAUUCGUAUUCCAUUGUCAGUGGUGAAAUUCUUGGAUUUUUGGAAGACGAACUACUGCGAAAGCAUUUACCAAGGAUGUUUUCAUUAA